This 252-nucleotide ribosomal RNA is filed under the name uncultured Alicyclobacillus sp. Its description in RNAcentral is "partial 16S ribosomal RNA". It matches the Rfam family "Bacterial small subunit ribosomal RNA", at positions 524 to 776 of the family's 1533-position model. The record is from RNAcentral. Lineage: Bacteria; Bacillati; Bacillota; Bacilli; Caryophanales; Alicyclobacillaceae.
UACGUAGGGGGCGAGCGUUGUCCGGAAUGACUGGGCGUAAAGCGCGCGCAGGCGGUUUCUUUAGUCUGAGGUGAAAGGCUGGGGCUCAACCCUGGCAUGCCUUGGAAACGGAGAGACUUGAGUACUGGAGAGGCAAGGGGAAUUCCACGUGUAGCGGUGAAAUGCGUAGAGAUGUGGAGGAAUACCAGUGGCGAAGGCGCCUUGCUGGACAGAGACUGACGCUGAGGCGCGAAGGCGUGGGGAGCAAACAGG